RNAcentral lists this long non-coding RNA (566 nucleotides) under Cricetulus griseus (Chinese hamster). RNAcentral describes it as "lncRNA (ENSCGRG00000025265.1)". The record is from RNAcentral. Lineage: Eukaryota; Metazoa; Chordata; Mammalia; Rodentia; Cricetidae.
GUGGGCUCCUCCUCCGUGACGUCGCCGUCUUCGCUGUAGCAAAGCUCGGCCUCUGGAAUUCUGAGAACUAAUUUGCUAUUCGGUGACAUAAGAGGGGGAGUGCGCUUCGCUUUCCCGGGGUCUGGGGCUAAUUCUUCCUCUUCUACCCAUAAACUCGGCUCCUCGAGCUAAAUACACAAAAGGGAGCGAGAGAUUUGAGCCGUUGGAACAAGUAUGUUAAGAGGCAGGUUUAGAGAGGCGAGUGAGAGAGAAAACAAUAAAUGCCACAGCUCCUUCCAGCUAGAAUAUUAGGCACCACGAGAAAAAUAUUUGCCAAGCAGUUUUCGGCUGCUUAACACAGCACCAUCGGUGCUUAAUUGUUGGCAUUAAGGUGUCUGAAGGGUCAGCUUCAUGGGAAGGAUGCCUGCUACAGAGAUGAAGACCCUCCUCCCAAGACUGACGCCAAUAGCUGUGUAACUGUGGAUACAGCUGCCCUGUGGAUGAUCGGUUGGACUAGGCGGCUACUCCUUCAUCCGGCCAGCAAAUCAGCACAAACCGAGGACUCCACAGCCUUACCAGAUCCGGAG